RNAcentral lists this ribosomal RNA (681 nucleotides) under uncultured bacterium. Its description in RNAcentral is "bacterial SSU rRNA". It matches the Rfam family "Bacterial small subunit ribosomal RNA", at positions 616 to 1302 of the family's 1533-position model. The record is from RNAcentral.
GGGAACUGCAUUUGUGACUGUAUAGCUAGAGUACGGCAGAGGGGGAUGGAAUUCCGCGUGUAGCAGUGAAAUGCGUAGAUAUGCGGAGGAACACCGAUGGCGAAGGCAAUCCCCUGGGCCUGUACUGACGCUCAUGCACGAAAGCGUGGGGAGCAAACAGGAUUAGAUACCCUGGUAGUCCACGCCCUAAACGAUGUCAACUGGUUGUUGGGUCUUCACUGACUCAGUAACGAAGCUAACGCGUGAAGUUGACCGCCUGGGGAGUACGGCCGCAAGGUCGAAACUCAAAGGAACUGACGGGGACCCGCACAAGCGGUGGAUGAUGUGGUUUAAUUCGAUGCAACGCGAAAAACCUUACCCACCUUUGACAUGUACGGAAUCCUUUAGAGAUAGAGGAGUGCUCGAAAGAGAGCCGUAACACAGGUGCUGCAUGGCUGUCGUCAGCUUGUGUCGUGAGAUGUUGGGUUAAGUCCCGCAACGAGCGCAACCCUUGCCAUUAGUUGCUACGAAAGGGCACUCUAAUGGGACUGCCGGUGACAAACCGGAGGAAGGUGGGGAUGACGUCAAGUCCUCAUGGCCCUUAUAGGUGGGGCUACACACGUCAUACAAUGGCUGGUACAGAGGGUUGCCAACCCGCGAGGGGGAGCUAAUCCCAUAAAGCCAGUCGUAGUCCGGAUCGCA